This 238-nucleotide long non-coding RNA is filed under the name Physcomitrium patens. Its description in RNAcentral is "long non-coding RNA (PPAT_LNC014296)". Lineage: Eukaryota; Viridiplantae; Streptophyta; Bryopsida; Funariales; Funariaceae. The record is from RNAcentral.
CCAAUAAGCCUCCUUCUAGUUAUAUUUUCAUCUUUUAACUCCUCCCUUCCCUUAAUCUUUAUACUAACUAUCUAAAUCCUAUAUAAUAUAAACUCUAUGAUCAAACUAGAUUAACUUCCAAAUAAUUUUCCUUAUUUCAAUUCAUUUUAAAUUAACAUACUAACUAUUCUAACUCACAUUAAGACUUAUAAACAUAUUACAUGUUUUCACUAAUUUUUACAUACUGUAAGUAAUUACA